Molecule: unclassified non-coding RNA, 20 nt
Filed under: Chlamydomonas reinhardtii
Lineage: Eukaryota; Viridiplantae; Chlorophyta; Chlorophyceae; Chlamydomonadales; Chlamydomonadaceae
Description: small RNA Cre_1228
Source: RNAcentral
CGAUGGGUCAGGUGCCAGGG